UCGAUCGUCAGGACGCCCCAGCCGCCAGAGCCCUUCGCCACCGCCGAGAUCCGAGAGGAGCCGCCGCCUCCAGGUCAUCACCGAGGUCCGCAAUCGCCGACGUUGAGGUCCGAGAGGAGCCGCCGCCGCACCGUCUUCCUCCUCCGCCAAUCUCCGAGGCGCCCUACUCGUGCGCCGCCGUCGCCGCCUCACAGAACCCUAGGGCAGGGCAGGGCGUGGUCGCGUUGCGGGCAGCGAGGAGCAACGCCGGCGCUUGCGUCGCCAGUUAGCGAGAGAGGAAGGGAGUGACGACGAUGUCUUCGUGCGAGGACAAGGACUCUGCUGCCGCGCAGGCCGCGGCGACCACGGACGUGGAGCCGCUGAAGCAGUUUUGGCGCAACGAGAAGGCCGCGCUGGAGAUCUGCCACUUCGACUCCGCCCUCGUCUCCCUUGCCCUAUGGCCAUUGGUUGUGUCAUCGUUCUUCACAAUACUGAAUGUUUCUGAUUCUUCACGGCCUGUGCUGAAACCAGGAGGAGACGUUCGAUGACUUCACGGAUAACGACAUCGACGACUGGUGGUUUCGCUGUACCAGAUGGAGCUCGAUCGCACGCUCUUCCUGCUUUGCUCUAUGGUCAUACCUGCACCUCCGCCUGCAAAAGCUCAGACUGAAUUCAGUCUCUGUAAUUCAGUCUCUAUAGUUUGUACCGCACAGUGGUUCAGUUACUAACUGAAAUGUUGCAUUAUGCAAUUACUUGACCUCAUCGUGCUGCUGUAUAUAGAUUGAAAAGUACAUGGCGCACAUCUCCAAUUCUUACGACCUCUUGAGCUGGUUGAUGCAGCAGGAGCAGCGAUUCACCAAGAGCUGCAAGGAGAUCAUGGAGAAGCAUCUCAGAGCAGUCGGUGCUGUGGAAGCUUCCCUACGGUUAUGACUCGUUGUUGCCUCCAUUGCGCGCUCGGCCUAGCUCCUGCGCCCCCUCUCGGGCUCGACCUCCCGCUGUACCUCUCCUCGACCAACUGGCCCGCCUCCCCACAUGCAUCACCAUGCUCCCCAAUGGUGUCCGCGCCUCCGAGUAGAUCCUGGUCCCUCGGCAUGUGUGGGGGUGUUCACGGCGUCCGGCUUGAUCAACGAGUUGUUGGAGUCCUCCGACAUGAAGGACCUGCUGGAUAAGUUGGCGUUCACGGACACGUCGCACGGGAGCCACUUGCAGAUCAUGCAGGAGGUGGAGGCCACGGGGGGCAACAUCGACGCCUCCGCGUCUAGGUAGCAGUUGGUGCACAGCUAUGACAUGCUCAUACAUACCGCGGGCCGUGCGUUGAACAGGAUUCUUUGAUGAUAAGUAACAGAUUUCUUCCUCCAGUGGCUAAAACAGGGGCUCCAUUUUCUCGAGUAUGGCCCUGGCUUAAAAAUCAGCGCUUGGCCACAGGCUAUGUCGUGCUCUAUUCGACCAUGCCUCCAACAUGCCCCUGGUCGCACACGCUGCUACCUUCCUUGGCGGCCUCUUCGCCACCCGUGUGUGCCGCGUUGCUGUCGUCUCCAUGCCACCCAUCAGUUGCGGUGGCGACUCAACAACUACCUUAUGCACCUAGACCCAUCUGCUUCUCUGAUUUGAUUUUGUGGGUUGCACUGAUCUCUCUUAGUACAUGUCUAUUUGCAGAGAAAUUAUUUAGAAUUCAGGCUUCAGGGAAGACUGAUCCAGACUGGCGGUACAUUUCUAAGCAUUGUGCUUUUGACAUCUGUGGGGAACUUCACUAAACAAAUUCUGAUCCUUUAGGUUUAUGAACUUUGAAUUCUGAUUUAUUUUAAGCCAAACAUUUUGUUGCUGUGCCAUUUAUUACAUCCAUCUCUGAUUCUUCCCAUAAAACCAACGUCCUUAUCUGCAUUUUUGGGGAACUUCACAUGGCCUUUUGGUCUACUUACUAUAUAUACAUAUAUACAUGGUUUUGCCAUCUAGCUAGAAGUUGAUUGGUCAAGCAUGCCAAAAAAAAAUAGUUAGGUGGUGCUAUGCGUUUCUCGGAAUUAAUAUAACUUGUGACAAUAAACUGAUUGCGGGAUCGAAACUUGCUGCAAUUUACUGCUAGGAAAUCUUAUAGGGCA
Aegilops tauschii subsp. strangulata is the source of this 2075-nucleotide long non-coding RNA. RefSeq lists it as uncharacterized. The record is from RefSeq and is a predicted model, not a curated record. Lineage: Eukaryota; Viridiplantae; Streptophyta; Magnoliopsida; Poales; Poaceae.